AACUUUGUAAAGUAUUACAAUCCACCACCUAUGUCUAACUCCGUUAAAAUUUUCGUUAAGUUUAAGUGCAUUUUCUUCUAUUCCUUAUAACUAAAAAUAAAUGUAAAACACAUAUUUAAAAAUAAUAAAAAGAUGUUAUAACUUCAUAGAUUGUGAAUUCUAUGGGCCAAAUACUCUCUUUCCCCCUCCAUCUAGCGAGUUCACA
This 205-nucleotide long non-coding RNA is filed under the name Prunus persica (peach). RNAcentral describes it as "long non-coding RNA (PPER_LNC000974)". Lineage: Eukaryota; Viridiplantae; Streptophyta; Magnoliopsida; Rosales; Rosaceae. The record is from RNAcentral.